This 76-nucleotide transfer RNA is filed under the name Chlamydia trachomatis. RNAcentral's name for it is "tRNA-Lys(ttt)". It matches the Rfam family "tRNA". Rfam says of the family: Transfer RNA (tRNA) molecules are approximately 80 nucleotides in length. Their secondary structure includes four short double-helical elements and three loops (D, anti-codon, and T loops). Further hydrogen bonds mediate the characteristic L-shaped molecular structure. tRNAs have two regions of fundamental functional importance: the anti-codon, which is responsible for specific mRNA codon recognition, and the 3' end, to which the tRNAs corresponding amino acid is attached (by aminoacyl-tRNA synthetases). tRNAs cope with the degeneracy of the genetic code in two manners: having more than one tRNA (with a specific anti-codon) for a particular amino acid; and 'wobble' base-pairing, i.e. permitting non-standard base-pairing at the 3rd anti-codon position. Lineage: Bacteria; Pseudomonadati; Chlamydiota; Chlamydiia; Chlamydiales; Chlamydiaceae. RNAcentral also lists the same sequence under 8 other names. The record is from RNAcentral.
GGGUCGUUAGCUCAGUUGGUAGAGCAGGGGACUUUUAAUCCCAAGGUCGUGGGUUCGAUUCCCACACGACCCACCA